AAGCGUACUGCUGGCAGCCCUCUGCCCCUCGGGGUGCUCACCCUCUGCCCCCAGCUGCUGUGAGUCCCGCUGCUGCCCCUGGAAAGUCUGCAACACGGGAGUCCUGCUCUCCAUGCCCCCUGAGCACUGUGCAUGAGGGUCCCCGCCAGCCUCUCUCUGACCCGCCACCCUCACCCUGUGGCACUCCAGGCGCUCGCUCCACUUCAAGGAGCUCUUCCACCGACGGCCCCAUGAAAAUUGCUGUGGAGACAUCUGGGGCCAGCCUGACAGCUCUCCCUUACAAAUGUCGACAUACACAGAAAGAUGGGUGAAAGGAGAAAAGCACUUCACAAAAGAAGAGGUCCGAACGGCCAGUCAGCACAUGAAGAGGUACCCAGUCUCACAGUAAUCAGAGAUGCAAAUUAAAACCAAAAAUAGGUGUAAAUAAACACGUGCUCCCACACUGCCUAAAAUAAAACAGUCUGGCAACACCCUGCCAAGUGCUGGCAAGGAUAAGGAGCAAGGAAACCUUUAAACACCUUCCAGUCACUCAGGCCAAAAGACUUGUCCACAAGCCCAUCUUCUUAUUUCUGAAAGUGAGCCAUUAAGAAACAGUCUACAGAAUCAUAAACUCAGAGAAUUUUAAAACUGGAAGAGAUCUUUGAGCAUGCAUCAGUUAAUCUGAACUUCUUAUUUGGAGGUGCGAAGACAGAGGUCCAGAGAGAAUAAAAUCACCUAUUCAAGGUUA
Molecule: non-coding RNA, 727 nt
Organism: Vicugna pacos (alpaca)
Lineage: Eukaryota; Metazoa; Chordata; Mammalia; Artiodactyla; Camelidae
Source: RefSeq, a predicted model, not a curated record